CAUUUAUUAUGAAAACCACUGGGAAAACCGCAAAAUGACCUCUUUAAAGUACCGCCCCAGUCGAAUUUCCUUUCGGAAAACGUGCUAAAUUUGACGAAUUCUGGCGGAAAAGUUGUUCAUAGAAAAAAAAAAAAAAAAAACAUCAUUGGAAAACCAAUACGUCGCGAGGUGUAAUAUAAGUGCAAAAUAAUUUUAUAAUUUAAUUUUUUGUUUUUUCAUGUACA
Cinara cedri is the source of this 224-nucleotide non-coding RNA. NCBI's taxonomy places the organism in Eukaryota, Metazoa, Arthropoda, Insecta, Hemiptera, Aphididae. The record is from the annotation of a GenBank genome assembly.